This 72-nucleotide transfer RNA is filed under the name Marmota monax (woodchuck). It matches the Rfam family "tRNA". From Rfam's summary of the family: Transfer RNA (tRNA) molecules are approximately 80 nucleotides in length. Their secondary structure includes four short double-helical elements and three loops (D, anti-codon, and T loops). Further hydrogen bonds mediate the characteristic L-shaped molecular structure. tRNAs have two regions of fundamental functional importance: the anti-codon, which is responsible for specific mRNA codon recognition, and the 3' end, to which the tRNAs corresponding amino acid is attached (by aminoacyl-tRNA synthetases). tRNAs cope with the degeneracy of the genetic code in two manners: having more than one tRNA (with a specific anti-codon) for a particular amino acid; and 'wobble' base-pairing, i.e. permitting non-standard base-pairing at the 3rd anti-codon position. Lineage: Eukaryota; Metazoa; Chordata; Mammalia; Rodentia; Sciuridae. The record is from Rfam by way of RNAcentral.
UGGGGUGUGGCUCAGUGGCAAAGCACUCACCUAGCAUAUGAGGGGCCCUGGGAUCAAUCCUCAGCACCACAU